AGGCUACAAGUUCUUAGUAAUAAAUGCUUUAAACCUUUGUAGUGUUGCAUGUGGUAGGAUUGAUCUGUUUUAUGAGCUUGGAUUUGGCGAACCUUGGGAAGUUUGUUGAAUGAUGACCUUUUGUUGUUCCAGAAUGUGCUUAUUAUUAUUCACUAAGAGCAUCAAUUGUUUUCUAUGGUUUUGUGCCUAGACCUCUCAUUCAGAGCACUUCGAGGAAGAAAUCUUGAACCUUCGAAACACACUAUUGAAGAGUGAGCUAGAGAAAGAGAGAAUAGCUCUGGAGUUGGAAGAGGAAAAGAAAGACAGAGCUCAUCGUGAGAGGAGGCUAGCAGAGCAAGCAAAGAAAAUUGCUAAUCUCAGUUCGUUGGUGCUAUGCUCUGAAAAGGAUGAGAAAAGCACAAACCUGAGUAAGGCAUUGGGAAGUAAGAUACUUAU
Molecule: long non-coding RNA, 435 nt
Organism: Asparagus officinalis (garden asparagus)
Lineage: Eukaryota; Viridiplantae; Streptophyta; Magnoliopsida; Asparagales; Asparagaceae
Exons: 3
Source: RefSeq, a predicted model, not a curated record